GCUCACCUAUUUUAUUUUGCCUUCUCCCUCAUGCUAUCCUUAAGUUGCGUUCUUGUCACGUGUCCCUUCCACUUGUUACCUCAAGCAGCCUAUAUUGCCUCCACCAACCACCUAUGGCUAUUGUUUGGUUUCGGGUCUGCCUUGCGAGUCGUAGUGCAUGCUAGUGCUGUUUACAUCUCGUUACUGUUACCGCCACCUUGUCGGGUUAUCUGUUGGAGAUCAUGACACAUGCUACGUGGUUAUAUCUGUUGAGAGAAUCAUGGUUACUUGUUAAUAAUUGUUAAGCGGAGGCAUCGGUGGGUCAGCUGAUCGUUUUGUGACGGCUCACUUGUGUUUCCUAAAUAUCUUAGGACCCCGAGUUCUUGUUAUCUGUUCCGAGACUGAGCGCUCUAACCACACGUGGGUAUGCUUCUGGGUCUCCCCUCGACCACUGCCGGAAUCUACAGCUUUGUCCAGUGGCCACAACUAUUUCGUAAUGUUUUACCAUUUGUUGUUGCGUGCAUGCCAGCUUGUUACUUAUUUACUUUGGGAAGCCCCUGGGUGCCUUGUAUCCCUUGUUUCUGGUAUGCACGUAUAGGUUUGCGGCCUGAGCGUUUAUCGCAUGCUGAAGCGGGUCAUUCGCCCCUGUGUGUGUUUUGACCCUCGGAAGCCGUGCACGCAAUAGCUAGGUCCGUUUCGGAGAUACGGCCGGACUUCGAUUCGGGUUCAACUUGGUUAGGUGGCUUCCUGGACAUUGUUGUCGUGAAGGAGAGUGCGAGUCGUUAUAUCCACCUGUCGCAAGUGGGUUGAUCGUGCGUGUGGGUACAUUUGGGCACCCCUGCAGGGUAAAAUCUUAUCGAUAAGCCGUGUCCGCGGUUAUGGACGACUUGGAGCUGUAUGACUCGACCAUAGACAACUUACACCUGUUGUUUAUUAAUAAUAACUUGCGUAGUAAGUUAGUACAACUUCAAUAAUAAAUGGUUAAAACUUGACAACCGUGUGAGUGCCCUUGUAAGUACUUCCUUGCGAGGGGGGAACGCAUCGGUUGUGUUAUGUUUGCAGAGUAUAGAACUGUUAGUUAUGCGCUCUCUCACCUUCUCUGAUAGACGACUGUUGUAGAGUGUCUCUAUAGGUUUUUAGUGCUUGCGCGCUGCCGCUUAACCCCACCAUAUUUGCCUAUGACGUUCCUCUUGCGUCCUCUAAGUCCCCUGCGUGCCUCAAGUACAAAGGACGACUGGUUGACGAAUGCUUAUACGUCUUGAAGUCUUGUUAAGUACGAACCCGUACUUAUUGCUGCUUCUACGGGAUAUAACCGGGCAGGUAUGAAGAUCGGUACGAUGAAGACGACGCUAGCAAGGUUACCCUUCCGGCUUGGCCUGGGCAGGGUUAUGGACGCCAUUGGUUAUCUUCAGGGACUCUUAGUCCAAUUUGCAUCUUGUCCGUACUCGGAUGUAUUUGAUCUUCUGUAUGAUUUGGAUCUUUGUAUUGUAUAUUGGUAUCUUGACUCGUUGGAGUCGUUGUUGUAAUA
Non-coding RNA from Lolium perenne, 1507 nucleotides. The record is from RefSeq and is a predicted model, not a curated record. Lineage: Eukaryota; Viridiplantae; Streptophyta; Magnoliopsida; Poales; Poaceae.